Molecule: transfer RNA, 75 nt
Filed under: Bacteriophage sp.
Description: tRNA-Thr
Rfam family: tRNA
About the family: Transfer RNA (tRNA) molecules are approximately 80 nucleotides in length. Their secondary structure includes four short double-helical elements and three loops (D, anti-codon, and T loops). Further hydrogen bonds mediate the characteristic L-shaped molecular structure. tRNAs have two regions of fundamental functional importance: the anti-codon, which is responsible for specific mRNA codon recognition, and the 3' end, to which the tRNAs corresponding amino acid is attached (by aminoacyl-tRNA synthetases). tRNAs cope with the degeneracy of the genetic code in two manners: having more than one tRNA (with a specific anti-codon) for a particular amino acid; and 'wobble' base-pairing, i.e. permitting non-standard base-pairing at the 3rd anti-codon position.
Source: RNAcentral
GCUUUCUUAGUUUAACUGGCAAAACAAUGCUCUUGUAAAGCAUAAUAGUAAGUUCGAGUCUUGCAGAAAGCUCCA